RNAcentral lists this unclassified non-coding RNA (265 nucleotides) under fungal sp. RNAcentral's name for it is "partial internal transcribed spacer region". The stretch from base 1 to 46 matches the Rfam family "Eukaryotic small subunit ribosomal RNA", at positions 1786 to 1831 of the family's 1831-position model. The record is from RNAcentral. Lineage: Eukaryota; Fungi.
AAGUCGUAACAAGGUUUCCGUAGGUGAACCUGCGGAAGGAUCAUUAACGAAUGAACGCCACAUUGGGGUUGUAGCUGGUCCUCACGGACAAGUGCUCGCCUCUGUGUCUUCCAACACACCCUGUGCACACCGGCGUGAGUCGUGGGGUCCCUUCGGGGUCUCCGCAGCUCAUCGCUUCUCUCUUACAAACUCUUGUAUGUCUCAGAAUGUACCUUGCGCUUAAACGCAUCUAAUACAACUUUCAACAACGGAUCUCUUGGCUCUC